CUUCUUUCCUGGCAGGGGAGACACCAUGAUCAUGAAGGUGGUUAUCCUAGGGUAAGACUUAUCCAUUGCCCUCCAGAUGUGCUGGCCCCUGCAAUUUCUGCAAAUGCCAGAAACUUGCAUGCAUAAUUUGUGGUAGUAGAGAGCGGCUUUCAUGAUCUCCCC
RNAcentral lists this small nuclear RNA (162 nucleotides) under Mus caroli (Ryukyu mouse). RNAcentral's name for it is "predicted gene, 22978 (MGP_CAROLIEiJ_G0035066.1)". It matches the Rfam family "U1 spliceosomal RNA". Rfam says of the family: U1 is a small nuclear RNA (snRNA) component of the spliceosome (involved in pre-mRNA splicing). Lineage: Eukaryota; Metazoa; Chordata; Mammalia; Rodentia; Muridae. The record is from RNAcentral.